ACGCGUAUAGAACCUACCUUUUACAGAGGAAUAGCCUUUAGAAAUGAAGAUUAAUGCCUCAUGGUAUUGUAGACUGGCAUCAGUUUAUAAUUAAAGAUUUAUCGGUAAAAGAUGGCUAUGCGUCCUAUUAGUUAGUUGGUAAGGUAACGGCUUACCAAGACAGCGAUAGGUAGGGGUCCUGAGAGGGAGAUCCCCCACACUGGUACUGAGACACGGACCAGACUCCUACGGGAGGCAGCAGUGAGGAAUAUUGGACAAUGGAGGAGACUCUGAUCCAGCCAUGCCGCGUGUAGGAAGAAUGCCCUAUGGGUUGUAAACUACUUUUAUACAGGAAGAAACACUGGUAUGUAUACCAGCUUGACGGUAC
RNAcentral lists this ribosomal RNA (367 nucleotides) under uncultured Polaribacter sp. RNAcentral describes it as "bacterial SSU rRNA". It matches the Rfam family "Bacterial small subunit ribosomal RNA", at positions 113 to 478 of the family's 1533-position model. The record is from RNAcentral. Lineage: Bacteria; Pseudomonadati; Bacteroidota; Flavobacteriia; Flavobacteriales; Flavobacteriaceae.